UUCAGCAGUCUGGGGAGCUCGGCAGUCUCUUUCUUGUUCCCUUGGCCUCGUACUUCAGAAACUGUCCGACAGGGUACCCAAGCCUGGUGCUGGAUGCAGACAGAAUGGAAAACACAGAAGCUGUGAAGGCCAAGGCACGCACGGGCUACUGCAGGACUGUAGGUCGCCUGCCAUGGCUGGUUUCCAGGUAGAGCCGCCCCGAUGAGAUCCCUGAACACUGUUUCCUUUCCUGGCAUUACCACGGAAGAUACACAUUUCCUCCUACUCUCUGGCUUCAGUGUGUCAUGUUCAAAAUGACUCUGUUCCACAGAGCCCGGAGCGGCCUCCCUGCAUGCUGAGAUUGUCUACACCAAGGAAAGUCCCUGUCUAGCAUCAUUUCUGCCCCUUUCACUUUCUAGCAGCUCUGGGUGGUCAACUCAAGGGCACCCAAUGGAGGGAGGACCCAGAUACCUUCUCUCUAGUCACCCAGAAGCCAUCUCUACAACUUUCUUUUGUUGACUGGACAGAUUCAUACAAGGUCCGAGGAAUACUCAACAGAGGGCAACAAUUAUCCUAAGUCCUCAUUUAUCUAAUGUUCUAGGAAACCAGCUUCAUUCCCGGGACAAUAAACUUACUUUGCCAAU
Molecule: long non-coding RNA, 623 nt
Filed under: Rattus norvegicus (Norway rat)
Lineage: Eukaryota; Metazoa; Chordata; Mammalia; Rodentia; Muridae
Description: long non-coding RNA NONRATT020569
Source: RNAcentral